CAUCUAUUGUUAUGUUUCAUGGGGACUUGCCUUACUCAUCAAAAGACAUCCUCAAGAAGCUCGAGACUUUGAAUGAUAAACAUAUUAUUGGUUCUGGUGGCUUUGGAACUGCAUACAAGCUAGAUAUGGAUGAUGACAAUAUUUUUGCUCUGAAAAGAAUAGUAAAGACAAAUGAAGGUCUUGACCGCUUUUUUGAUAGGGAACUUGAGAUCUUGGGCAGUAUUAAACAAAUAUCGUUAUUUGGUAAAUCUACGUGGGUAUUGCAAUUCACAGUCAUCUAAGUUAUUAAUUUAUGAUUUUUUGUCUGGCGGGAGCUUGGAUGAAGCUGUUUACAUGAUUGAUUUGAAGCUGAAAUUGUGUCGGGGCUCUUCGACUAAAAAGAUUUUGGUUCGAGAGACGAUGAGUUAUGAAGCUAAUAAUCUCAUUUUAGGGAUCAAAAAGAAUUGCCGAGGCAUUAGGUCUUCAUCUACCUCGAUCGCAAAGUAAUGUUCGAAGAAACUGCCGAAGGAUUGCUCGGUUCGUGCAGUGAGCAAUGACAAGAUUGUAUUCCAGAGAUAAUCCACAAUAAAACAGAAAGUGUUCCAGAAACCUGAGUCGAAAACGAAGCAAACAUGAUUAUUUUUUCAUGAAUGUUGCUUCUAUGCAGAUACAUGAGUUAGCAUUUGUUUCACAAAUUUCAACAAAAUUGCAAAUCUAUUAGAGACCCAAAUCCAAUAUUUAUGAGACGUUCUUUA
Molecule: long non-coding RNA, 734 nt
Organism: Asparagus officinalis (garden asparagus)
Lineage: Eukaryota; Viridiplantae; Streptophyta; Magnoliopsida; Asparagales; Asparagaceae
Exons: 4
Source: RefSeq, a predicted model, not a curated record